This is a long non-coding RNA of Oreochromis aureus, 1377 nucleotides long. The record is from Ensembl. NCBI's taxonomy places the organism in Eukaryota, Metazoa, Chordata, Actinopteri, Cichliformes, Cichlidae.
ACUCAGUCCUCUAUCGUGCAGACACAGAUCACAACCUCAGCAGCAGCUCAGCACUGAAAUGUGGAUCCUCUCCUGCGUCCUCAUUGGCUCUCUGGCCUCUUCUUUGCCCGAAAAUCACACCACCACACCUCCACCUGCAUCAAAACCUUCACCGACAUCCACACAUCCACCUGCAUCUGCCUCCGUCACUCCUUCUCCAUCACUCAUUCCUGUGUUGUCAUCUAUUGGAUCAGUGUGUUCUGUGGUUCUGCUGAUGUUAGUGGUUCUGGUGGUGAAACGAUGGGUAUGUGGAAAACCCAAAGAGGAUGCAGAAGAAGUUAGAGAAAAUGACAUCACAGAUGGCAUCAUAUACAGUGAAAUCAUAACCUCAAAUUAUCAACAGCAGCCAGCCAGACAGAGCCCAGGUAAUUUUCUGGAGCCAGAGGUCAUUUACUCCAAUCUCCAGUAGUCGACCAGUCCAGCCAGUGGAGUCCAGCUGCUCUACUUGUGUUGUCCUGUGGGUUUCAUGAAGAUGACUGAUGGAAAAUUUGAAUUGACUGAUAAAACAUCUGUCUUCUGAUCAGAUAGGAAACAAACAAAUUAACUGCAACCACAGACUAUAAACAGCAUGAGCAUCGCUACAUUGUGUGGGUUACAAGCAGCAAUUUAUAUGUCAGCUUUCAGAAACUCAAUGAACUGUUUCAUUAUUAAAUUAAAAGCAUUCUGUGCUUUCAAACUCAGAAUUGUGACUUUUGGUUUGAUGAAACAGAAAACAUUUCAUCAUGUUUAAUCAGACCCCCCUCCCACCCAAAAAAAACUAUAGUAUUAAAAUUCAACUCAGUUAAUUCAGUUGCAUUUGUACAGCAAAUAAAAAGAUCACAGCAACAGUCGCCCCGAGGUGCUUAAACUGGACAGCUCCCCUGAUCCCGUUGAUUAUAGGAAGUGUCAGCACCUUUCAUAAUAAGAGCAUGGAAAUUAUGAAAAAAUUCUAGAACCACAGAUAAUCAUGCUUCCAUCAGAUAACAUGUAUUUUAAAUGUGAAACAUAGAGACAGCGAACAUAAAGAAGAACAUAGACAUGACGUUAGUUUUGUGGUUUCAGGCCUUCAGAGUCUGCUGCCAUCUACUGCUAUUACUGGGUAUUAGCAAAUGACAACAAGAAAAAACCUGUAAACUACUUAAUGUCUAUAUGUUGUGAUAAGUUUAUAGUUAGUUAUUCAGAGUUAAAAUGUUUUUAUUGUUCAUGAAGGAUUACCAGACUGAAAAUACAUCAUAUAAACUCUUACACAUUUUUCUGUAUCUCUCCCACAUGUGAUGAAUGCCUGUUACUGGAUGAAUAUGAACAUUCUUUGUUUAAAUGUGACUCUUUGUUGGGGCAAAAUAAACAAAAGGAACUCAA